This 668-nucleotide ribosomal RNA is filed under the name Aeromonas hydrophila. Its description in RNAcentral is "partial 23S ribosomal RNA". It matches the Rfam family "Bacterial large subunit ribosomal RNA", at positions 2263 to 2925 of the family's 2925-position model. Lineage: Bacteria; Pseudomonadati; Pseudomonadota; Gammaproteobacteria; Aeromonadales; Aeromonadaceae. The record is from RNAcentral.
GGGUAGUUUGACUGGGGCGGUCUCCUCCCAAAGAGUAACGGAGGAGCACGAAGGUUGGCUAAUCCUGGUCGGACAUCAGGAGGUUAGUGCAAUGGCAUAAGCCAGCUUAACUGCGAGACGGACAGGUCGAGCAGGUACGAAAGUAGGUCAUAGUGAUCCGGUGGUUCUGAAUGGAAGGGCCAUCGCUCAACGGAUAAAAGGUACUCCGGGGAUAACAGGCUGAUACCGCCCAAGAGUUCAUAUCGACGGCGGUGUUUGGCACCUCGAUGUCGGCUCAUCACAUCCUGGGGCUGAAGUCGGUCCCAAGGGUAUGGCUGUUCGCCAUUUAAAGUGGUACGCGAGCUGGGUUCAGAACGUCGUGAGACAGUUCGGUCCCUAUCUGCCGUGGGCGUUGGAUGAUUGAAGGGAGUUGCUCCUAGUACGAGAGGACCGGAGUGAACGAACCUCUGGUGUUCGGGUUGUCACGCCAGUGGCACUGCCCGGUAGCUAAGUUCGGAAUCGAUAACCGCUGAAAGCAUCUAAGCGGGAAGCGAGCCCUGAGAUGAGUCAUCCCUGACCCCUUGAGGGUCCUAAAGGGCCGUUGGAGACCACAACGUUGAUAGGUGGGGUGUGUAAGCGCGGCGACGUGUUGAGCUAACCCAUACUAAUUACCCGUGAGGCUUAACCAU